CGCUGGCGGCGUGCUUAACACAUGCAAGUCGAACGAUGAAGCCCUUCGGGGUGGAUUAGUGGCGAACGGGUGAGUAACACGUGGGCAAUCUGCCCUUCACUCUGGGACAAGCCCUGGAAACGGGGUCUAAUACCGGAUAAUACUCCUGCCUGCAUGGGCGGGGGUUGAAAGCUCCGGCGGUGAAGGAUGAGCCCGCGGCCUAUCAGCUUGUUGGUGGGGUAAUGGCCCACCAAGGCGACGACGGGUAGCCGGCCUGAGAGGGCGACCGGCCACACUGGGACUGAGACACGGCCCAGACUCCUACGGGAGGCAGCAGUGGGGAAUAUUGCACAAUGGGCGAAAGCCUGAUGCAGCGACGCCGCGUGAGGGAUGACGGCCUUCGGGUUGUAAACCUCUUUCAGCAGGGAAGAAGCGAAAGUGACGGUACCUGCAGAAGAAGCGCUGGCU
This 447-nucleotide ribosomal RNA is filed under the name uncultured bacterium. RNAcentral's name for it is "bacterial SSU rRNA". It matches the Rfam family "Bacterial small subunit ribosomal RNA", at positions 34 to 498 of the family's 1533-position model. The record is from RNAcentral.